GUGAGGAAUUUUCCGCAAUGGGCGCAAGCCUGACGGAGCGACGCCGCGUGAGGGAUGAAGGCUUUCGGGUCGUAAACCUCUUUUGUGGGGGAAAAAGGCGCAAGCUUGAUGGUACUCCACGAAUAAGCCCCGGCUAACUACGUGCCAGCAGCCGCGGUAAUACGUAGGGGGCGAGCGUUGUCCGGAAUUACUGGGCGUAAAGGGCGUGUAGGCGGUUGGAAAAGUCUGGUGUGAAAUGCACGAGCUUAACUUGUGCGCUGCGCUGGAAACUUUCUGACUGGAGUUCGGAAGGGGUGACUGGAAUUCCCGGUGUAACGGUGAAAUGUGUAGAUAUCGGGAGGAACACCUGUGGCGAAGGCGGGUCACUGGUCCGACACUGACGCUGAUACGCGAAAGCGUGGGUAGCAAACAGGAUUAGAAACCCCAGUAGUCC
RNAcentral lists this ribosomal RNA (433 nucleotides) under uncultured bacterium. RNAcentral's name for it is "bacterial SSU rRNA". It matches the Rfam family "Bacterial small subunit ribosomal RNA", at positions 354 to 796 of the family's 1533-position model. The record is from RNAcentral.